RNAcentral lists this ribosomal RNA (625 nucleotides) under Hua aubryana. Its description in RNAcentral is "partial 16S large subunit ribosomal RNA". It matches the Rfam family "Bacterial large subunit ribosomal RNA", at positions 1304 to 2602 of the family's 2925-position model. Lineage: Eukaryota; Metazoa; Mollusca; Gastropoda; Semisulcospiridae. The record is from RNAcentral.
GAGUAUUAAAACUAAUAUUAAAAUGAAAAAUUUUCUUCAAAAAAAAUAUUUAAAGAAAUUAAUUAAUUAAAAGGAACUCGGCAAAUUUAGUUGCUUCGCCUGUUUAUCAAAAACAUGGCUCUCUGCCUAUGUAUAUAUAAAGAGUCGAGCCUGCCCAGUGAAAUUUUCAACGGCCGCGGUACUCUGACCGUGCAAAGGUAGCAUAAUCAUUUGCCUUAUAAUUGAAGGCUAGUAUGAAUGGUUUGACGAGAGCAACGCUGUCUCUUUUUUAUUUUCAAGAACUUAACUUUUAGGUGAAGAGGCCUAAAUUUUAUUGAAGGACAAGAAGACCCUGUCGAGCUUAAAAGACAUCAUAGAAGUCUAUAUAUUUUUAAAUAAAUUUCCUAUUAAGCUUUUUAGUUGGGGCGACUAAGGAACAAAAAAAGCUUCUUGUUAAUAUUAAACGGUCACGUUUAGAUCCGAUAAUAAUCGAUCAAAGAAAUUAGUUACCGCAGGGAUAACAGCAUAAUCUCUCUUGAGAGACCUAAUCGAAAGAGGGGGUUGUGACCUCGAUGUUGGACUAGAAUAUCCUAAAGAUGCAGAAGUCUUUAAGGGUCGGUCUGUUCGACCGUUAAAAUUUUACGUG